Molecule: long non-coding RNA, 817 nt
Filed under: Crocodylus porosus (Australian saltwater crocodile)
Lineage: Eukaryota; Metazoa; Chordata; Crocodylia; Crocodylidae
Description: lncRNA (ENSCPRG00005017831.1)
Source: RNAcentral
AGAGCCAAUGAAGUAGAUUUGUGUCUCCCACAUGACUGUGUUUCCCCUGUCUUUCACAUGGGCAGUAUUUAGUUCAAUUCAGAACUGCAGAUAGUACAGCCUGCUUUGCAGCAAUGGGAUGUCUGAACACAAGUGGCUGACUUCCGAGUGACUUUAUGAAGCACUUUUAUACUUUCCUCCUGCAUUAAACUGGGAUUCUGCAUUCUUGGCACUCCCUCAUCAGACUCUUCUCUGCUGCAGGGAACUGAGUAUUUAGUACAGCUUAGCAUUAUGAAACUCUACGCAUCUGGUGGUAUUUGACAGACCUUCCCUACUUCAGCAAACCAGAAGAAUUUCAGCAGAAACCUUACAAGGAAUCUGAGCAGAAUUGCAGACCAGCAAAUUAAAAGAGGCUGAAGGCAAUUUGACCAGCAUCUUCUAUGUUCAGUCCACAGAGGUUGAUGAAGCACCAAGUCUCCAAGGUUGAGCUUCAAGAUAAUAUGAUGAUGUUGCAUUCAAGAGGGCUCUUUAGAAAAAGAAGGAAAAGUAUGAACUAUGAACAAGAAGAAAGUGAUGGCACCCUGGAAUUUCUACAGAAUCACUUGCUGAGCUGAUAAAAUCUAUUAACCUGUUUUGGGAUCCACAAAGUCAUUGAAGCUGCACCUGCUAACAUCGGGUCCAAAUUUGGCCUACAAGCUUCUCAGUGUUUCAUAAGUAUAAAUUCUAUGUUCGUUCAUGAAGCAUUAUAAAAGCCUGAUGUCUGAAAAAUAUUAUUAACCUCUUGUAAUAGCUAAGAUAAAAGAAUAAAUCUAGUUGUAUCUACUCUUAACUAUAAUAA